AACCGGAUUAGAUACCCUGGUAGUCCACGCUGUAAACGAUGAAGACUAGAUGUUGGGCAGCUUAGACUGCUCAGUAUCGAAGCUAACGCGAUAAGUCUUCCGCCUGGGGAGUACGGUCGCAAGAUUAAAACUCAAAGAAAUUGACGGGGGCCCGCACAAGCGGUGGAGCAUGUGGUUUAAUUCGAUGCAACGCGAAGAACCUUACCUACCCUUGACAUCCAAAGAAUUUUGCAGAGAUGUGAAAGUGCCGAAAGGAACUUUGAGACAGGUGCUGCAUGGCUGUCGUCAGCUCGUGUUGUGAGAUGUUGGGUUAAGUCCCGUAACGAGCGCAACCCUUAUCCUUAGUUGCCAGCAUUUAGUUGGGGACUCUAAGGAGACUGCCGGUGAUGAACCGGAGGAAGGCGGGGACGACGUCAAGUCACCAUGGCCUUUAUGGGUAGGGCUACACACGUGCUACAAUGGGCGGUACAGAGGGCAGCGAAAGCGCGAGCUGGAGCCAAUCCCGAAAAGCCGUUCAUAGUCCGGAUCGGAGUCUGCAACUCGACUCCGUGAAGUCGGAAUCGCUAGUAAUCGCGAAUCAGAAUGUCGCGGUGAAUACGUUCCCGGGCCUUGUACACACCGCCCGUCACACCAUGGGAGUGGGUUGUACCAGAAGUAGGCAGUUUAACCGCAAGGGGAACGCUUACCACGGUAUGGUUCAUGACUGGGGUGAAGUCGUAACAAGGUAACCGUA
This 733-nucleotide ribosomal RNA is filed under the name uncultured endophytic bacterium. RNAcentral's name for it is "bacterial SSU rRNA". It matches the Rfam family "Bacterial small subunit ribosomal RNA", at positions 771 to 1504 of the family's 1533-position model. The record is from RNAcentral.